Long non-coding RNA from Rosa rugosa (rugosa rose), 254 nucleotides. RefSeq lists it as uncharacterized. The record is from RefSeq and is a predicted model, not a curated record. The transcript is spliced from 3 exons. NCBI's taxonomy places the organism in Eukaryota, Viridiplantae, Streptophyta, Magnoliopsida, Rosales, Rosaceae.
GUUUUGAAGGACCUAUUUUGUGGUUAGAGGACCUAUUUUGUACCAGGUGAAAGUCUUACCAAAAGAAGCUACCAACUAGAUUGCAAGCAUGCUGAUAUCACUGGAGGAAAAAUUUAGAAAGUAAAGUUCCAGAUAUUGCAAAAUCUGGAUUUACAUCGGCAUGGUUGCCGCCAUCAACUCAUUCCUUUGCCCCGGAAGGUUACCUCCUUCAGAACAUAUAUUCCCUCAAUUCUAAAUAUGGAUCUGAGCGCCAA